Molecule: ribosomal RNA, 775 nt
Filed under: Proctolaelaps sp. 4 NFS-2015
Lineage: Eukaryota; Metazoa; Arthropoda; Arachnida; Mesostigmata; Ascidae
Description: eukaryotic LSU rRNA
Rfam family: Eukaryotic large subunit ribosomal RNA
Source: RNAcentral
UAAGAGAUGAGGUGUAAAGGUUUCUCGUGUUGGACAGAUGCACUGCCUAAUUAUUAUUGAGUGAGUGCUCAGAGAAGGUGAAAAGCCUGUAUGGUUGUGUCUAUCUGUCGAAUCGAGUUACUGACGAGUCUAGUUGUUUGAGAGUACAACUUAAAGCUGGUGGUAAAUUUCAUCAAAGGCUAAAUAUAUGAGGGGACUAAUAGCGAACAAGUACCAUGAGGGAAAGUUGAAAAGUACUCUGAAGAGAGAGUUCAAUAGUGCGUGAAACCAUAUUGAGUAAAACAGAUAACGGUGCUUUUAUGUGGCGUGCCCAUCAACAACGAAUUCGGUGUUGCUAAAACUUGAGUGUGAGCUGUUUUUUCAGACGAUCGCUCUUGUUUGGCAUAGCUGAAAGCUUUGUGCACUGGUGCCGCCCAAUCAUUGAGAAACCAUACUGCUGUGGCAUCGACUCGCAAUUGUGCAAGCUUGCUUGUAAUUGUGAGUUGGGUUUACUGGCGGUGUGGUUUAGCUGUGUGACAGCUGUGAAAUGCGUUUGCUGAAUGUAUCUGCUUUGUCGGUAAAUCGGUUUAUUCCUUUUUGCUGUGAGUAUGAUGCAGUAGGUAAGUGUUUCACCAUCAAUGUAUGCAUUUGUUAUUUGACCCGUCUUGAAACACGGACCAAGGAGUUCAAAUGGCACGCGAGUCAUUGGGUAUAAACACCCGAAGGCGAAGUGAAAUGCGAUUCUUUAUCGUUACUCGUAGUUGUUCUGCGAUUAAGCGAUAAGCUACUCAUGCUU